CUGCAUCGCCUGAUAGACUUCCGAGAACGCCAGCACCUGCGGAAUGGCGCCAAGCGCGCGCAUUUCGGCUUCGAGAACCUUCGACGACUGGAUGCGCAUCUUCAGGCCCUGGAAGUCGGCGACCUUAUGCAUCGGCUUGUUGGCCGUCAUGAUCUUGAAGCCGUUGUCCCAGUGCCCGUGAUGCCUUUCGGCUCGAGCUUCGCCAGAAGGCUCUUGCCGAUCGGGCCCUUGGUGAUGCGUCCGAGAGCCGCCUUGUCCGGAAGGAUGUAGGGCAGAUCGAACACCUCGAAUUCCUUCACGCCAAGCGGGCC
RNAcentral lists this unclassified non-coding RNA (311 nucleotides) under Hevea brasiliensis (rubber tree). The record is from RNAcentral. Lineage: Eukaryota; Viridiplantae; Streptophyta; Magnoliopsida; Malpighiales; Euphorbiaceae.